Molecule: long non-coding RNA, 823 nt
Filed under: Bos mutus (wild yak)
Lineage: Eukaryota; Metazoa; Chordata; Mammalia; Artiodactyla; Bovidae
Description: lncRNA (ENSBMUG00000011898.1)
Source: RNAcentral
GGGAGGAGGGAGGAGGGGGGAGGAGGAGGAGAGAGCAGAGUAUACCGCAGACAUCAUUUCUACUACAGUGGCGGAGCCGUACAGGACCUGUUUCACUGCAGGGGGAUCCAAAACAAGCCCCGUGGAGCAGCAGCCAGAGCUACAGCAGCCGCAAGACACUGUUUCUCUCCCUCUGCCCCCCCUUCCCCACGCAACCCCAGAUCCAUUUACACUUUACAGAGGAGCCGGCUGCAAAUCACCGAGGUGUUCCAUUCAAGCUGCAGAUUUGUCUGUCGUCUUUGGACAGCAGUCUCUUCCUCCACGGCUGCUUUGGGGGAGUCCAACACCCAUCGGGUAAGAGUUUUGCGAUGCUGUCUGGUUUCUAUCUGAGGAUAAAGUCUGGCCUGGGAAAAUCACUUACUAGUCAUACUUUAGCACUUUACAGACUGUUGAAGAUAAUUGUCUUUGCAAACUGUACUGUGUAGGAAAUGGAGAAAUCGCAGAGAGGUGUUUUUUUUUUUUUAAACUUGGAUUCAGGUAUCCUCCUUUUUGGUUUAUUUGGUUGAUAACAGUCUGCCUCUGCCUUGCCGAUGGUUCAUUAUUGUGUGCUGGGGUUGAGCCUGAUCGUUUUAAUUGUCACCUGUACUUGGAGCCGAUGAGCAGGUUUUGCUACCAAACGGUUACCUUAAGUCACUGUCUCCAUGUUUUAGGUCGUGGUCGUUGUGUGACUGUGGUGCAGGGAGAUAGCUUGUUGGUUCCGUAGCAACCCAUGUUGGCUGGAUCUUGAAUUUCUUUGUGUCAGUUUUGGAUUUGACAACUUCCUGCUUUCUUCAUGUACAGUAAA